RNAcentral lists this ribosomal RNA (460 nucleotides) under uncultured bacterium. RNAcentral's name for it is "partial 16S ribosomal RNA". It matches the Rfam family "Bacterial small subunit ribosomal RNA", at positions 338 to 795 of the family's 1533-position model. The record is from RNAcentral.
CCUACGGGGGGCUGCAGUGAGGAAUAUUGGUCAAUGGACGCAAGUCUGAACCAGCCAUGCCGCGUGCAGGAAGACGGUACUAUGAGUUGUAAACUGCUUUUGUACGAGGGCAAACGCAGGUCCGCGUAUCUGGCUGAGGGUAUCUUAAGAAUAAGAAUCGGCUAACUCCGUGCCAGCAGCCGCGGUAAUACGGAGGAUUCAAGCGUUAUCCGGAUUUAUUGGGUUUAAAGGGUGCGUAGGCGGUCUGUUUAGUUAGCGGUGAAAUCCCGAGGCGCAACUUCGGAAUUGCCUCUGAUACGGUCCGGCUAGAGAGUAGUUGAGGUAGGCGGAAUGUAUGGUGUAGCGGUGAAAAGCUUAGAGAUCACACAGAACCCCGAUUGCGAAGGCAGCGUACCAAGCUAAUUCUGACGUUGAGGCACGAAAGCGUGGGGAGCAAACAGGAUUAGAUACCCCAGUAGUC